GCUCUCGUAGCUCAGAGGUAGAGUACUUGGUUGAAGCCCAAGGGGUCGAAAGCUCAAAACUUUCCGGGAGCA
This 72-nucleotide transfer RNA is filed under the name Agathobacter rectalis. RNAcentral's name for it is "tRNA-Phe". It matches the Rfam family "tRNA". From Rfam's summary of the family: Transfer RNA (tRNA) molecules are approximately 80 nucleotides in length. Their secondary structure includes four short double-helical elements and three loops (D, anti-codon, and T loops). The record is from RNAcentral. Lineage: Bacteria; Bacillati; Bacillota; Clostridia; Lachnospirales; Lachnospiraceae. RNAcentral also lists the same sequence under 1 other name.